AGGAAAUUCCACUCAUUGAUAAAGCUCGGCUUCGACACCCCUGCUCACAACGAAAUACCUUCCUUGCCAACCACAUUGCUUUAUGAUCGUGCCCCUUUACCACAUUGUACUUGAAACGCCUUGUCAUUUAAGAAACCAUAAAAACGACGUCUUUAAAAAUGGGUUCAUCAUUUAGCUGGAGAUGGCUUCUGUGCCUGGAACCAGAAGCCUGUCCUCUCGGUGGUAUGCCUCCACAAAAGGAAGCGAGCUACCACAAAGGACAGCAUCAUGUGUUGCCUUCAUUGCUAUUGAAUCGGGAAGUUGGUGCCCAGUUUCAAUAUGGAUGACAAAGUAGUGGGAAUCUGAAAUGCCUACAGUAGAAGUAAGGGUGUCUUUAUAUUGGGAAUAUCCUUGAUCCCAGGGCCCAUUUCUAAUUCCCCCUUCUCUCUUUCCCUGAUACAGGCUAUUUUUGAACGAGAAGGACUUUGGCUCAAAUCAACAGUUUGGUUUCUUACCGUUUACAUCUAUGAGUCAAAGUAGCUUGCUCCCAGGAUCCCCCACCAAACCGAAUGAAAAUAAAUUCAAUGUGUGCCCACUGAGCCUGGCCUGGGAGUUCUUGAGAUCAACUCAGAAUCAUGGUCUUUCUGUCACUCCCAAAACAAUCCUACCUAAUUCUACUUGUUCCUAAGUAUUGCCUUAGGAUACUGACAGUCUUCUCCUACUUACAGCUUUUGAAUGAAAUUAAAGCUAAUCCUCUCUGGCUUGGUCGGGUCUUGUGUAAGAUUCCCACACCCCACAAUCAAGGCCUUGCAAUGUGGUGUUAGAAGAGAUAGCCAAGUUACCACACCUGCAUCACGAUUCGGAUAAGGAUAGUAUUUUUUGCCUUCCAUGAGACAGCUUUGAAA
RNAcentral lists this non-coding RNA (884 nucleotides) under Pan troglodytes (chimpanzee). Lineage: Eukaryota; Metazoa; Chordata; Mammalia; Primates; Hominidae. The record is from RNAcentral.